RNAcentral lists this ribosomal RNA (590 nucleotides) under uncultured bacterium. RNAcentral's name for it is "partial 16S ribosomal RNA". It matches the Rfam family "Bacterial small subunit ribosomal RNA", at positions 338 to 918 of the family's 1533-position model. The record is from RNAcentral.
CCUACGGGAGGCAGCAGUGGGGAAUAUUGCWCAAUGGGCGCAAGCCUGAUSCMRCCMWKSCGCGUGUGUGNAARAAGGCUUUCGGGUUGUAAAGCACUUUCAGCGAGGAGGAAAGGUUGUACUUUAAUAGAGUGCAGCUGUGACGUUACUCGCAGAAGAAGCWCCGGCUAACUCCGUGCCAGCAGCCGCGGUAAUACGGAGGGUGCGAGCGUUAAUCGGAAUUACUGGGCGUAAAGCGCGCGUAGGUGGUUAAUUAAGUCAGAUGUGAAAUCCCAGGGCUCAACCUUGGAACUGCAUUUGAAACUGGUUGACUAGAGUUCUGUAGAGGGUGGUAGAAUUUCAGGUGUAGCGGUGAAAUGCGUAGAGAUCUGAAGGAAUACCAGUGGCGAAGGCGGCCACCUGGACAAAGACUGACAYUGAGGCGCGAAGGCGUGGGGAGCAAACGGGAUUAGAUACCCCGGUAGUCCACGCAGUAAACGAUGUCUAUUAGAAUUUUGUGGCUAUAUGCCGUGGGAUUCAAAGCUAACGCAUUAAAUAGACCGCCUGGGGGAGUACGGCCGCAAGGUUAAAACUCAAAGGAAUUGACGGGG